This 89-nucleotide transfer-messenger RNA is filed under the name Candidatus Thiodiazotropha lotti. RNAcentral's name for it is "partial transfer-messenger RNA". It matches the Rfam family "transfer-messenger RNA", at positions 1 to 89 of the family's 374-position model. From Rfam's summary of the family: Bacterial tmRNA, also known as 10Sa RNA or SsrA, is named for its dual tRNA and mRNA-like properties. Its role is to liberate the mRNA from a stalled ribosome. Lineage: Bacteria; Pseudomonadati; Pseudomonadota; Gammaproteobacteria; Chromatiales; Sedimenticolaceae. RNAcentral also lists the same sequence under 1 other name. The record is from RNAcentral.
GGGGGCGACGUAGGCUUCGACGGGGGUUGCAAAACCUGAAGUGCAUGCCGAGGUGCAGAGUACCUCGCUAAACCAUCUGCAAACUUAUA